Long non-coding RNA from Rhineura floridana, 589 nucleotides. RefSeq lists it as uncharacterized. The transcript is spliced from 3 exons. NCBI's taxonomy places the organism in Eukaryota, Metazoa, Chordata, Lepidosauria, Squamata, Rhineuridae. The record is from RefSeq and is a predicted model, not a curated record.
UUCCAAGUUUUUUUUUUUGCUGAGUAUUUAUUACGUGUUUUGAGUCUCGAGAACAUAGGUGGAUAACCAGCUUGACUUUCUUGUAACUCCGUGUGCGCGCGUCCUUUUGAAUGAACAGCGCGCCAAGGGAUCGCGAUGACUUGCCGUGGAAAGGCUGCAAUCCGAGGCGAGAAUAGUCCUAUUCGGGUCAUCGGGCCUUUCUUCCGAGUCAACAGAUGCAUGGGGCUGAGUUAGUUUGCGGGAAGCAUUUGCCUUUGGCCUUUAUUUUGCCUUAAUGGAUUGGUGUGCUGUUCAUAUCAGAACCCCAUAUUGUUACUGGGAAGAAGGAAACUGCCUUGUAGAUAGCAGAGGAAAGCUCCAGAGACGUUGAUCGAAGAUGCUUUAAGGAGCCAGAAGAAAGAAAGAUUUUGAGGGAAUAAGCAACCAAACAGAAGAAGAUAAGAAAAACCAGAAGUUGUUUGGACAAAAAUAGGUGAAUGCUGAGCCCUGCGAGUGGUUUGUCUUACUUGAGCUAUCUUGCCACCCCCCCACUUGCAUCUGUUACAAUAGCACAAUGGCACUUCCUGAAUUAAACAGUCAUAAAGUUUCC